This 345-nucleotide unclassified non-coding RNA is filed under the name Hevea brasiliensis (rubber tree). Lineage: Eukaryota; Viridiplantae; Streptophyta; Magnoliopsida; Malpighiales; Euphorbiaceae. The record is from RNAcentral.
AUUCACUAAUAUUGUUAUUGACCAUAUUCAAAGAGAAUUCUUCUGUCAUCAGCAUACUUUGAACAUGAUCAAGAAGUCCUGUAAGUUCUCGAUGAACAUGAGUAAAACGUUCCUUGGAUACCAAUGACUCUGUCAAUAGAGUUGAUGCAAGAGAAUGAAAGGUUUGAGCACACUCAUCACUGUUGCUUUGAGCAUUUUGAUCAUCCAUUGGCAACAAAGAAUGCUUCCUUCGCCAACGAAGAGGUAAGUAUUUUUCCGGGAGCUGAAAGUAGUUCUUGACUGAAAGUACUCUAAGAGAGUGCCUACAUAAUAUUCCAGACUGGUCAAAUUCCUUGCAUGAACAAU